RNAcentral lists this long non-coding RNA (2034 nucleotides) under Astyanax mexicanus (Mexican tetra). Its description in RNAcentral is "lncRNA (ENSAMXG00005017710.1)". The record is from RNAcentral. Lineage: Eukaryota; Metazoa; Chordata; Actinopteri; Characiformes; Acestrorhamphidae.
GCGGCUGGAGUAAGUGCGUCACGCGCGCCGCGUGCUCUCUUCCCCGUUAUAAGAAUCCUGUUUUCUGUUUAAAAGCUUCACUCUGAAGAGAUUAUCUGCCAAACUGAAACAUGGCAACAAAGGGAGCUGAAGCAGCAGCACAUAACAGUUCCGACAGUGAUGACAGCAUGGAUGGAGUACGCCCCACAUUUUCUACUGGGAAAAGAAUACGUCCUGAGGAACUUCUGGAAAGCAGCAACAAAUUCAUGGAAUUUUAUGCAGAACAUCUGCCUCACCUUCAGCAGACAAUCGUCCAGCUGUUUAGGAACACAGUGUUUUAUAUAAACAGAGUCAUUGAAGAAUCUCAGAGUGGUGCGGGAGGUUUUGCAGCUUGGGUUUUCAGAGUUGGACAGAACCUUUCUGCUGAAGACGUCCUACUGGGUCCCUCCACCUCCGCUUCUUCCUUCUAUAGGUUGAGUUCAGGAGAAGACAAGCAAAACAGAAACAGAGAUGAACUACUAAAACAAGCCGAAAGAGCUGUGGAGACCUUCCAAACCACAACUGGGAACGCCAACAUCCACCUAAAAAACAUCUCUAAAGAUGUUGAAGAGAUCCUGAAGUAUCAACGUGAUGAACAGUCCACUUCACUCAGACAUGACCUAGAGAACCUCAGAGAAAAUGACAAUGUUUUAGCAGAAAUGGCUGUAUUAUUUAAGCAAGAUGACCUAGAGAUUAUUUUAGAGCAGGCACAUCGAAAUUUUCGAAACACAGAAUACCUAAAUUAUUCUCGUGGAGGUUUGCUCGGCCUCUUGAGUUUAAUCAUUGGUUUUUUUUCUGAAAAUUACAAAAUAUUGAGAGACUUUGAUGACUUGAAAGAUCACUCCAGUGUGCAGGGCAGUGAUUUGAAAACAGAAGCAGGAAAAGUAGUCUUAGAGAUUAGAGGAACACUUAAACAUUUACUAAAGACCUUAAACGAAGUGAUAGAUUCAAAACCUGGCCUAGAAAAAGUUCUCAUUCCCAAACUCAAACAGUACUUUGAAAAAAGGAAUGUGUGAUUUUAUGAUUGUGUAAUUUUAUGGACAGAAAGAACCUUUUGACUCUUUUUGUCUAGAACGCUCUCUUUCCAGAACCUCUACCAGACGAAACUCCAGUGAACUGGUUUAUUAGUUUACACAGUGUUAGACAAAAUUAUCAACUGAUGAAGAUAUGCAAAUCAGUUCUAGAUAACAAUCCAGUUGGGACCAAGUGAAACAAAUAUUCUGAGAAAAGUUUAAAAUUAAUAAUCAAAUCAUUGUAUGAAACAGUUUUAGAAUUUCAGACAAACAAGCAGAACUAAACAGUGUCCAGUCUGAUAGAGAGUCUGACUUUAUUCAUCUACUUAUUUUUUUUUCAUCAAAAACAAAAAUCAAAAGACUUCAAAGCAACAAAUUGGAAGGGUAUGUAUAGGUUUUGAUGGAUGUUUGGCUCCUUCUUGUUUUGAGGAUGCAGUGUGAGGAAGAGUGUGUGAUGGUUUUCAGGAGGAUACCGAUAACCGAUAAACAUUGUAGAAUGGACUAUACCAAUUUCUAUCAGAACAACAUUAUACUUACCAAGACUGUACAUUUAUUCUCCAACAACUAAUCCUGGCUUACUUUAGACAUUAAGGCUCUCCUUAAGAGGAAAAGAGGGGUAUUUAUUUCUGGUAAUCAGGUGGAGAAUGUACAGAGAGAAAUGUGGAGGAGGAUUAGGGAGAGGAGCUACAGACCAGUAGCACUGACAUCGCACCUGAAGAAGAACCUGGACUGAGUGCUGACCGGAUUGUUUAACUCCUCUGCUCCCUGGUGUCAAGCAAUCUGACAUCCCCCUUAUGCACAGAUCUCUUUCUCAUAUGGAGAAUUAUGUGUUUUUUCUGCAGUGCUUUAAAUACCAUCCAACCCAUGUUCCCGAGAGAAACUGGAGAGCAUGGGCUUGGAAAACUUAAACAACAAGCUGGACAGGACUGACAACACAGCUGCACUCUACAGGAAAAGGCAGGACAGGUUACAUCUCCUGAGGAGACUCGGGUCCUUUGGUGCU